RNAcentral lists this ribosomal RNA (497 nucleotides) under uncultured bacterium. RNAcentral describes it as "partial 16S ribosomal RNA". It matches the Rfam family "Bacterial small subunit ribosomal RNA", at positions 28 to 507 of the family's 1533-position model. The record is from RNAcentral.
GACGAACGCUGGCGGCGUGCCUAAUACAUGCAAGUAGAACGCUGAAGAGAGGAGCUUGCUCUUCUUGGCUGAGUUGCGAACGGGUGAGUAACGCGUAGGUAACCUGCCUUGUAGCGGGGGAUAACUAUUGGAAACGAUAGCUAAUACCGCAUAACAAUAGGUGACACAUGUCAUUUAUUUGAAAGGGGCAAUUGCUCCACUACAAGAUGGACCUGCGUUGUAUUAGCUAGUAGGUGAGGUAACGGCUCACCUAGGCGACGAUACAUAGCCGACCUGAGAGGGUGAUCGGCCACACUGGGACUGAGACACGGCCCAGACUCCUACGGGAGGCAGCAGUAGGGAAUCUUCGGCAAUGGGGGCAACCCUGACCGAGCAACGCCGCGUGAGUGAAGAAGGUUUUCGGAUCGUAAAGCUCUGUUGUAAGUCAAGAACGAGUGUGAGAGUGGAAAGUUCACACUGUGACGGUAGCUUACCAGAAAGGGACGGCUAACUACGUG